AGUUUGAUCCUGGCUCAGGAUGAACGCUAGCUACAGGCUUAACACAUGCAAGUCGAGGGGCAUCAUGAGAGUAGCUUGCUACUUUUGAUGGCGACCGGCGAAUGGGUGAGUAACGCGUAUCCAACCUGCCGCACACCCGGGAAUAGCCCUUGGAAAUGAGGAUUAAGUCCCGAUAUGCACUUAUGCCGCAUGGUGUAUGUGUGAAACGAGGUGUGCGAUGGGGAUGCGUCCGAUUAGCUUGCCGGCGGGGUAACGGCCCACCGGGGCACCGAUCGGUAGGGGUUCUGAGAGGAAGGUCCCCCACACUGGUACUGAGACACGGACCAGACUCCUACGGGAGGCAGCAGUGAGGAAUAUUGGUCAAUGGGCGAGAGCCUGAACCAGCCAAGUAGCGUGGAGGAUGACGGCCCUACGGGUUGUAAACUCCUUUUAUGCGGGGAUAAAGUCCACUACGCGUAGUGGUUUGCAGGUACCGCAUGAAUAAGGAACGGCUAAUUCCGUGCC
Molecule: ribosomal RNA, 504 nt
Filed under: uncultured organism
Description: SSU rRNA
Rfam family: Bacterial small subunit ribosomal RNA
Source: RNAcentral